This is a long non-coding RNA of Maniola jurtina (meadow brown), 655 nucleotides long. RefSeq lists it as uncharacterized. Lineage: Eukaryota; Metazoa; Arthropoda; Insecta; Lepidoptera; Nymphalidae. The record is from RefSeq and is a predicted model, not a curated record. The transcript is spliced from 2 exons.
UUUUUUGGAAGUCAGGUAAAAAGUACUUACAAGAUUAUCAAUGAGUGAUAACUUGAAUAAUAUCUAAUCACUAAUCAGUAUCUUUAAUUUUACAGUGAACAUCCUGUAUCAUUCGUCAUAUAGUAUACCAGUUAUAAUGGUCAAAAUAUCAAAACAUUGGAAUUUAGUAUAAGAAGCAAUGAAUAUCCAGACUUGUUUAAGUAUAAAACUGGUUCCACUCUAGAGUAAUAAGAACAAAACUUCACACACUACAACCUACGCUACCUCACUUUAUUACUAAUAAUAAUACUAUGGUAAUAUUGUGAAUGAAAACAACACGCAUUUGUAAAAUAAACUUUCUUUUUGCUAACAUAAGAACCAUUUUGUGUUAUCAGAAAAUUGUAUGCAUAAAAAAUCAGCUGAUUUUUACUAAUCGUCAAAAAAGAUCAAUAGAAUACUGAUUAAUGUGAAAUAUGAAACACACUUCAUGAUCCAAAAUUAGUUUAAUAGCUCUACUUUACUUAUUACAAUAAUAUUAAGUGGGUACUAAUUAAUACACCAGCUAGGUACGUGGAAUUUACAAAAUAGGUAGAUGCCCACUUAUGUCGGCAAACCAAAGGCACAGGAUAAUUUUAGUACAUUUAUCUACGUAAGUAUUAAAAGUUUGUGAAAUCUA